AAUACGUUCCCGGGCCUUGUACACACCGCCCGUCACACCAUGGAAGUUGGUUAUAUCCAAAACUAUUUUCUUAACCUUAUUGGAAAGAAAUAAUUAAGGUAGAAUUAGUAACUAGGGUG
This 119-nucleotide ribosomal RNA is filed under the name uncultured bacterium. RNAcentral's name for it is "partial 16S ribosomal RNA". It matches the Rfam family "Bacterial small subunit ribosomal RNA", at positions 1365 to 1482 of the family's 1533-position model. The record is from RNAcentral.